AUGGACGCAAGUCUGAUGGAGCAACGCCGCGUGAGUGAAGUGGGGUUUCGGCUCGUAAAGCUCUGUUGGUAGUGAAGAAAGAUAGAGGCAGUAACUGGCCUUUAUUUGACGGUAAUUACUUAGAAAGUCACGGCUAACUACGUGCCAGCAGCCGCGGUAAUACGUAGGUGGCAAGCGUUGUCCGGAUUUAUUGGGCGUAAAGCGAGUGCAGGCGGUUCAAUAAGUCUGAUGUGAAAGCCCUCGGCUCAACCGGAGAAUUGCAUCAGAAACUGUUGAACUUGAGUGCAGAAGAGGAGAGUGGAACUCCAUGUGUAGCGGUGGAAUGCGUAGAUAUAUGUAAGAACACCAGUGGCGAAGGCGGCCCUCUGGUCUGCAACUGACGCUGAGGCUCGAAAGCAUGGGUAGCGAACAGGAUUAGAUACCCUGGUAGUCCAUGCCGUAGACGAUGAGUGCUAAGUGUUGGGAGGUUUCCGCCUCUCAGUGCUGCAGCUAACGCAUUAAGCACUCCGCCUGGGGAGUACGACCGCAAGGUUGAAACUCAAAGGAAUUGACGGGGGCCCGCACAAGCGGUGGAGCAUGUGGUUUAAUUCGAAGCAACGCGAAGAACCUUACCAGG
This 616-nucleotide ribosomal RNA is filed under the name Lactobacillus gasseri. Its description in RNAcentral is "bacterial SSU rRNA". It matches the Rfam family "Bacterial small subunit ribosomal RNA", at positions 371 to 978 of the family's 1533-position model. The record is from RNAcentral. Lineage: Bacteria; Bacillati; Bacillota; Bacilli; Lactobacillales; Lactobacillaceae.